Molecule: long non-coding RNA, 343 nt
Filed under: Homo sapiens (human)
Lineage: Eukaryota; Metazoa; Chordata; Mammalia; Primates; Hominidae
Description: non-protein coding lnc-RPS24-3:7
Source: RNAcentral
GAAGUCACGGGGUGACUCCAAGCAGGGCCCCCUUUGCAUUCAGCCUGCCCUUCUCUCAGCCCAGUCAUGCUGGCACCAGAUGAGCUGCUGCAGACUCAUGAGGAAAGAGUCAAGACAGGCUCUUUGAAACCUCCCUCUCCAGGCAUGCCACGUGAACAGAAGUUCCAGGAGACAGAAGAGAGGGGUGACAAGAAAUUGCCCUGAUCAAACUGCCACAGUGACACACCAUGAAAAACACACAGAGAUUGGCUCUGUGGCAAUGGCAUCAUACCCAGGUCACAGGUGCAAAUUUGGUGCAGCAAAGCAGCAUUAAAUAUUUUGCAUUAAAUUGAUGUUAAUUUGC